UCUGGUUGAGCUUGGUCCUUCUGCACUUUCUCUUUGUAUAGUGAUAGCUUGUGUCAGCGUCUGUUUCUCCCUGAGGAUAGUCUCUGGCAGGGACCAUUCAUCUUUGUAAGCCCAGCACAGUGCCUAGCACAUAGUAAGUACUCACUGAGUAAUUUUCGAGUUGAAUGAAUUACUUUUCAAUGGGGAAUUCAUAGCCCAAGGCACUUUCCCUCCCAAGGACAUCUGUGUGGCCACAGGGGAGACCAUAACCCAACAGAGUAAAAGUCAGCAGUGGAAUUCUAGGCUAUGGGGGAAGGGAGAGCAUUUCUGGAGGGCCUCAGUAUGAGCACAACACUUGCCUGUUCCUCAGGGAUGGGAGUUGUACAGAGGCUGACAAUGACAAUGACGAUGGCAGUGAGCCCGCAGAGGAGGAUUGCAAAGUACAGGUAGUGGAAGUCCUUCAGCACUGCUGGCCUCCGGUCCACCUCCCCACAGGCUGGCGCUGGGUAUGAGAACUCCAGGAUCAUACGCAGAAGCCCCACUCCCAGGCCAAACACGAGGCCCCAGAAAGCUCCCUGUGAGAGAGGGCAGACAAGAGCUGAGGUGAGAUCCAGGUGGGAGACCCUAGGAAGGUAAAACUACUCUCUCCCCAAAUCUCUCUCCCACUGGUUUAUUGCCAUGUUGGGCAAAUCCAUCUACUAAUGGGAAAAUGAGUUCUCCAUUAAUACUGAGACUUCGUCUUGACUUAAAGGCACAGUGGAAUAGGGGCUCUAGAGUCAGGUAGACUAAGAUUUGAAUCCUGGCUCCAUUGUGAACUGACUGAACCAAUGACUCGGCCGUGCUGACUCAGAGUUUUCUUAUUGGGGGCAGUAAUUUAAAAAUUCAUAAAAUUAAAUCAGUACUAAGUUAAUUAACAGAUGGUUAAUAUUCAACUAAAAUGGAAUAAACUUUUGUAAUAAUCAGGGAAUACCAGGAUCCCCUUCCCAAACUUCUGUCAUGAUAAAUCAGAAAUCAGAAUAGAGACUUUCCUUUAGUUGCUGUUGUUUUUAAGAAAAGCUCUGGUACUUCUCAUGUCUUUCUUCUUUAUAGCUCCAUUUGGCCCUAACCUGUACCUGUUCCCAGCAUGUAAGAGUAUGGGAGAUACUGAUCCUGAUUUCAAAAACUUUGGAAUGAGCAGAAACACCCAGAGUUCAGCCAGGGCAGCUCUUUCCCAGGAUGACUGCAGCUUCCAGGGACUGCUCCUUCCUCCACGCGCUGAUCCUCUCUCCCUUACUGUGGCAUUGAUCUUGGGAAAGAAUCCCACUUAUUCACCUGACUCCUUCUCAACAAACUGUGGCUCAGACCUAAGUCCCCAAAGCAUUCUGCAUGUAUGAUUUUGCAGAUGUGUGAAGUUGUUGAUGAAAAACUUUUCUUGGAUGUGUUGGGUGCAAUAACACAUAUGACCAGUAGAUAGAGCACAAACCUCACUGAUUGAGGAAAUGGUAGCAAAACCAGUUCAUAUGCACAGAUAAGGAAUGCUUCUUUUGACAUGUCACUGCAUACCUGUCUUCUCCUCUCCUUUUCCUCCCAUUUUGCCUCUCUCAGACUCCACUAGAGCAUCAGCCCCCCAAGUAGCUUCCCUGCUGCUCAUCCCCCUCCUCUUUGCACAAUCUGUCCUGCACUCAGAUCCUGCAAUGGCCAGUCCCCUUGCCUAGGGCUGGGGGUGCACAGAUGAGCAAGCAGUAGGAAUCCAUUAGGCAGCCCUGGGCAGAAGGCAUCCUAGUGGAAAGAACAGUGAGUGCAAAGGCAGGGAGAUGUGAAAGAGCAAGCUUCCUAAAUUCAAGUACCUAUCCACAAAGUGGGAGAACUUUAGUCCAGAAAUCCAAGUUAGGGAACCUUCGAUUAUGAAGCAAAGAUCUAAAAAAGGGCCCCUUAACCUUAUGUAAACUACAAAUCUCCAGCCUAUGGAAAACCAAAAAUUUUAGCCACCAAGUUAUGCUUUUAAAAGCAUAAAACUGUUACCCACAAGAUAAAGUUCGAAUUCCUUAGCUUGGUGUCCAAGGCUCUGCAUCAUUUGGAGAGAGCCCUCCUAUGAAAAUCUCCAUUGACGCAAAUACCUUGCUGUGUUACCUGUGUUUCUACCUUCCUUAAUAAACUGUGAGCACGCUGAGGGCAGGGCCAUAUGACCCAUCCGUGGGUCCCCUGCAUGUGGGAUGUGAUGCACAGUAGAUGUUCAGAGUGAAUCUGAUGGAUCAAAUUAAUAGCAUUUUUUUUUAACCGGGCUUAACAUCCGGAGUUGGUUGGGAAUACCUUGGGUGAGCUGCUUGCUAACUUUCCAUGCACUUACACAGUUUACCUUUCAUUUCUUAAGUACUUUUUCAUCUCUCGACAACCCUGUUGAUCAAUUUCAAGAUAAAGUUACCAG
This 2383-nucleotide long non-coding RNA is filed under the name Homo sapiens (human). Its description in RNAcentral is "HSALNT0006551". The record is from RNAcentral. Lineage: Eukaryota; Metazoa; Chordata; Mammalia; Primates; Hominidae.